This 73-nucleotide transfer RNA is filed under the name Bos taurus (domestic cattle). It matches the Rfam family "tRNA". Rfam says of the family: Transfer RNA (tRNA) molecules are approximately 80 nucleotides in length. Their secondary structure includes four short double-helical elements and three loops (D, anti-codon, and T loops). The record is from Rfam by way of RNAcentral. Lineage: Eukaryota; Metazoa; Chordata; Mammalia; Artiodactyla; Bovidae.
ACUUUGGUAGUCCAUUGGCUAAGACUCUGCACUCCCAAUGCAGGGGGCCCAGGUUCAAUCCCUGGUCAGGGAG